Molecule: ribosomal RNA, 642 nt
Filed under: uncultured bacterium
Lineage: Bacteria
Description: bacterial SSU rRNA
Rfam family: Bacterial small subunit ribosomal RNA
Source: RNAcentral
CAAAGGGAUUACCGGUGGCGGAUGGGCAUGCGGCGCAUUAGCUAGUCGGCGGGGUAACGGCCCACCGAGGCGACGAUGCGUAGGGGUUCUGAGAGGAAGGUCCCCCACACUGGUACUGAGACACGGACCAGACUCCUACGGGAGGCAGCAGUGAGGAAUAUUGGUCAAUGGGCGCGAGCCUGAACCAGCCAAGUCGCGUGAGGGAUGACGGUCCUACGGAUUGUAAACCUCUUUUGCCGGGGAGCAAGCGUGCGUUCGUGAACGCGCGUCGAGAGUACCCGGAGAAAAAGCAUCGGCUAACUCCGUGCCAGCAGCCGCGGUAAUACGGAGGAUGCGAGCGUUAUCCGGAUUUAUUGGGUUUAAAGGGUGCGUAGGCGGGAUGCCAAGUCAGCGGUAAAAAUGCGGUGCUCAACGCCGUCGAGCCGUUGAAACUGGCGUUCUUGAGUGGGCGAGAAGUAUGCGGAAUGCGUGGUGUAGCGGUGAGAUGCAUAGAUAUCACGCAGAACUCCGAUUGCGAAGGCAGCAUACCGGCGCCCUACUGACGCUGAGGCACGAAAGCGUGGGUAUCGAACAGGAUUAGAUACCCUGGUAGUCCACGCAGUAAACGAUGAAUGCUAACUGUCCGGCUCGAAUGAGCGCUGG